Molecule: RNA transcript, 1648 nt
Organism: Leguminivora glycinivorella
Lineage: Eukaryota; Metazoa; Arthropoda; Insecta; Lepidoptera; Tortricidae
Gene: Zasp66
Gene name: PDZ and LIM domain protein 3
Exons: 10
Source: RefSeq, a predicted model, not a curated record
AUCUGAACCAUUUUGCGAAUAAGAUCGCCAGAAAACGUAAAUCACUGCGCACAGCAGCCGCGUACGAAGCGCGAAAUAGACGAGGAUACUGUCGAAUUAUCCGCUAAUAAAAACCAGCACUGCCCGAGCCACUGCGUACAGAAGCCAGGCUUGAAGGCGAGAACUGCAAUGCCGUUGUACCAGCGACCUCCGUUCUGGCGCGUGCCUCAUCAGAGACCGGACCCUGAUGACUGCAGGGAUUUUGGACAACGGAGGCGGGUGACCCCAGGCACGCCGGCCGGCAAGGAUCUCUUGCGCGGCGAUAUUAUAGCGAAGAUCGAUGACUACGAUGCGCGAGACCUGCGUCACGAGGAUGCGCAGAACCUGUUCAAAAAUGCACAGAACCACAUUAAACUUGUAGUGCAGAGGGACGUGGAUCGUGAUCAGCCGCGCAGCGCCUCAUCCCUAGCGCCCCGGUCGCCUGUCUUCAAUGCGAACUCGCCAUACAGGACUCCAAGCCCGAUGCCUCCGACGGCGUUCAGACCAGAGUCUCUACCCCGCACACCGGUUCCACAGCAGGGCUACGGGCCCCACGGCCACGCCCAGCAGACCUACCCGCCACAAAUCGAGGGAGAGUAUCGCACAAUGAUGCUCUCACCUACUUACUCUUCAAGGACAGAUGAUACGCUGGAUGAGUCUUUGAAUAGCCAGCCAUACCGCACGACGCCCCUCGUGCUGCCCGGCGCCAAGGUCCGCCGCGAGCCCGGCCCCACGGAGUCCUACUUGAGACACCACCCCAACCCGUCCAUGAGGGCGCCCCCCAGCCACGAUUACCGCGACACACUUAUGAGGCAAAGGGUGGCUGAAUCCGUGGUGCAGCGAGUGAUCGGUGACGACAAUAAGGGCUUUGUACACAAGCAAUUCAACUCCCCGAUCAAUCUAUAUUCAGAGCAAAACAUCGCCAACUCCAUUAGGCAACAGUCCUCGCCCUUGCCCGCUAACGGCCAUUACGGACGGCCACACGUAGUCAAGAGGCAAGUGUUUUACUAGACACGGCUCGACGCCAUCUCUCAUGACGCAUUAAUGCUUAUUUUAUUUUUAUUUUGCUAUCUUUCGUCUUAUGAAACUCGUUUUUCGAUCUCCGUUCUGGCGACGACCGCCUGUCGCCACCGCCGGUCCUAGCGACCUAUCAUCCACACGUUCACGCGACAAACAUUGUGUGCCAUCGUGUGGGUGUAGCUAUAAUUAUUUAUUUAGCUUAUAAGUCAACAUUAUCAGUCGUCUUCUAAAUGAUCGAUGUCAGUAUUUUUAUCGACCUCUCCUUCCUCAAAAACAAACACGACUAAACACCUCGUUACGUCACUAACCGCUUCCGCGCCCUUCUAACGGUCCCCGGGUCUAAUUCUAAUGUUUCUGUCUAUUUUGCGCCCGCUAACCACUAAACACUAACGCCCCGCCCGCCGCCCCGCCCGCCCGCAGCCACAAGCCGACGCUGCUGUACGACCCGGCCAAGUCGGAGACCUUCAAGGCGCUGCAGGAGGACGGGCUCGGCGAUGUAGUGCAGGAGGUGCCCCAGCCAGUCGAGUGCAAGGUCUUCACUGCGCCGCCCAACAAGAGGCCCGCGCCCACUCCGAAACCAACGAAACAGCUCGAGCAGGUGAACGGCCAC